RNAcentral lists this ribosomal RNA (207 nucleotides) under uncultured bacterium. RNAcentral's name for it is "partial 16S ribosomal RNA". It matches the Rfam family "Bacterial small subunit ribosomal RNA", at positions 568 to 774 of the family's 1533-position model. The record is from RNAcentral.
CAUGUAGGCGGAUUAAUGAGUUUGAAGUGAAAUCCUAUAGCUUAACUAUAGAACUGCUUUGAAAACUGUUAAUCUAGAAUGUGGGAGAGGUAGAUGGAAUUUCUGGUGUAGGGGUAAAAUCCGUAGAGAUCAGAAGGAAUACCGAUUGCGAAGGCGAUCUACUGGAACAUUAUUGACGCUGAGAUGCGAAAGCGUGGGGAGCAAACA